ACGAACGCUGGCGGCAUGCUUAACACAUGCAAGUCGAACGAAAAGGGAGCUUGCUCUCUUUUAGUGGCAAACGGGUGAGUAAUGCGUAGGAAUUUGCCUUUUGGUGGGGGAUAACCAGAGGAAACUCUGGCUAAUACCGCAUGAGCUUAGUGAUAAGGAAAGAUUUAUCGCCAAAAGAUAAGCCUACGUCGGAUUAGGUAGUUGGUGGGGUAAUGGCCUACCAAGCCGACGAUCCGUAGCUGGUCUGAGAGGAUGAUCAGCCACACUGGGAUUGAGAUACGGCCCAGACUCCUACGGGAGGCAGCAGUGAGGAAUAUUGGACAAUGGGGGCAACCCUGAUCCAGCAAUGCCGCGUGAAUGAAGAAGGCCUUCGGGUUGUAAAGUUCUUUCAAUUGUGAAGAUGAUGACGGUAGCAAUAUAAGAAGCUCCGGCUAACUCUGU
Molecule: ribosomal RNA, 441 nt
Filed under: uncultured bacterium
Lineage: Bacteria
Description: partial 16S ribosomal RNA
Rfam family: Bacterial small subunit ribosomal RNA
Source: RNAcentral